UUAAAACUUAGAGUGAUAUAUUUCUAUCUGUGAUAUCUUUCCACUUGAAAAAUCUCAAAACACAAGAUUAAAAACCUAAUAGGCUAUAAUACUUUUUAUUUUGGGAGCCAGAAUAUGAUUCGGGGGAAAGAAAUGUGUAAGUCCUUCUGCAGUGUAACUUUAUCUUUUCUCUUAAGUCCACCUUCAAUUCUUCCUUUAUAUGGUAUAGGAUUUUGCGUCUUCUAUUUCUAGGCAUGUUCUUAUCUUCCAUUAUCUUUAAUAUUGAUAACUCUCCCAGACACCAAAGAACAUAUUUGCUUAAUUAAGUGUCUGAACAGAAACAAGAUGAAAACACUGGUAUUUUUAUGUGUGUAUUCAAUAUCGUAUAAAAUAUAAAACCUAUAUUUUAACUUAGUAAAAUAUUUUACUACUUCUGUACUUUAGACAGAGUGUUGCCUCCAAGGUACAAUGAAUGAGCAUUUUUCUUGAGUCUUGAUCCAUCUUUUAUUCCUUAAAAAGCAACUUGGACCCUUUACUCCCCUAAAGAGUUUUUACCACUAGAAUUGUUGCUGAUCAUUCAUCUUAUGCCAUUCCGGUCCUCCCCCUCCCCCGACAUUUAGCUCCUUUCUGGGUUAAGCUGACAUUACCUAGCCUCAUUUUGAAACUUAAUGCUGUCAUAAAAAUGAGAAGCACUUAUUAUUUAUUUUUUAAGUAACCACAAAAGUCCAUGUCAGUAAUGAAUAGGAAAAGUAUUUAUUCAUAUGAAAUUUACUAGGUUCUUCAGGAAAAAAGCGGUCAGCAUUUUAAAUUAUUAGGAUUUAGGAUAUGUAUAAGAUUUGAACAGAUUGUGCCCCGCCCCCCACUUCUUACCUUCUCUGCAUCCUUUCUUCUUGAAAAUUCAAAUUUGUUCACAUUAGAAUUUCUCAGUAUAUAAAUUGUUUUCAAAAUAAAUUAUGUAUUGUAUGAACUUUCUCCAUGAUGAAAUAGUCAAGGACUAGAAUCUGUAAUAUUUUAAUGUAAGAUUACUUGUUAAGACUACUACAAGUGGACAUGAACUACCUUUCUAUAAAGAUUUUUAGUAUUUAUACUUAUGUAUGAAAUUUACUUUUACAGAGUGUGGUUAUAACUCAGAACAUCUACUUUCAAUAGGGUUUAUUUUUCUAUCUUGAAUUGCCUUACUUGUAUUCAAAGGCUCUGGAAAUCAUUAGGAAAAGUACAAAUAUGCUAUUUCAUGUAUCUUAAACUCGGGUAGACCCUUAAUACAUACUUAAUUUCUUUUCCUUUUUUAAAAAUUCAUUCCUUUGUCUAGGUCCAUGGAAUUCAUUUUAUAGCCAUUAGUUCUAAGGGAAAAAAAAAAAAGACCAAGCUUCUGGCCAGUCACUCUUCCUCUGUCAUGACUCCAGGUCCUGUAGAUAGGGUACCUUUCUGAGUCGGGCAACAAUCAGAAGCUUGUGGGUUUCCAU
RNAcentral lists this long non-coding RNA (1442 nucleotides) under Bos taurus (domestic cattle). Its description in RNAcentral is "long non-coding RNA NONBTAT007595". The record is from RNAcentral. Lineage: Eukaryota; Metazoa; Chordata; Mammalia; Artiodactyla; Bovidae.